CGUGCCGGCUUUGGCACGCGUGCCAUAGGUCGCCUACCCCUGCACUAGGGAAUAACCGACAUAGGCCUGGCCAGAGUUCCCCAAAGCUCAGGUCAGAUCCACACUCUGGGACGGCAGCUCCCGAGACCGUCACUGAAACCUCGUUCCCAUCCUGCUGCCUCCUGGCAGCCGCUGCCUGGCGGAAGCCCCAGGACAUUCCUACAGCAGAAUGACCCACCCUGCCCCACGUCCUGCCCGGCUCUGGGGUGCUGCAGCUGGGCAGCCAACUGCUGUCAGGGGCGAGAGACCUGGAACAUCCAGCAGCUCCCUGGCGUUUGUGGGGCAGAGCCAGCAGCAGGCGGGGAGCAGGGGGGAGCUGUCGAUCUCAGACUGAUCACUGCAGAGAAGGAGCUACGGGGCAGGAACAGCUCCCGCCCGAUCUCCUACAGGGCAGGAUCGGUCGCAGGCCACACAAAUGUGUCCUUGGCCCAGCCAGGCAAACGGGCCUUUUGCUCCGGCAGGAUCCCGGGGAGCUCAGACCGACCAGGGCAGUUUGACUCUCGGUGCAUCAGAUUCCAACUCUGCUUCUCUCCCUUAUUUCCAGCCGCUCCGAGGAUCUUCAUCCCCACGCGAUCAGGAAUGAGACUCAGAGAGAGCUCCUUCCCCUGCCACGUGUGGGGCUUCUACCCCCGGGACAUCAUCAUCACCUGGCUGAGAGACGGGCGGGUUCGGACUGAAUCCACAUAUUCUCCCCUGCAGAGGAACCCGGACGGGACCUUUAACCUCACCCUGACCUACAGCUUCACCCCCAUGGACUGGGACAGAGGCAGCAUCUUAACCUGCCGUGUCAGCCACGCGGCUCUGCCCCAGCCCCUGCAGGAGGAGUUCGCCCUGAUAAUCGCAUGGUGGACAGGUGACAUAGUCGCACUUGUCUCAGGGAUCCUUCUCCUCGUCACUUUCCUGUUGCUGUGUGCAUGCCGGGUCUAUAGAGGGAAGAGCUACCAGACAGUUGUGACGUUCCCCUCUGUUGCUAUCCGGACCAGUGAUCUAUGGGGCCACUCCAACGCUUGACUCUGGGAGCCAGCCUGACUCUGCUCCGCUGGGAGAACCCCCCACUCCUGGGCUGGUCACUCACAGCCUCUGGCGGGUGAGCUGCUCCUUGGAUUGUGCAACCGAACGACACUAGCCAGAGAAUGCGACAAGAGCCUUAUCCAAUGCAACCGCAAAGGAGGGGUCUUAAAACAGGCAGACCACCAACGUAACUGCCAAAGCAGGAAAAACCUAAUAUGGAAAAUAUUAGGCUAGCUUGCUUGUUUUGCACACGUAAUUCCAAAUAAGGCAAAAUAUAUUGAGUGAUAUUUUGUGGUUUUAGCCUUUAUAAGCUUGAUGAAAUUUGUAAUGGGGAGGGGCAGCUAACCCUUGUAUGGGUACAUGCUGUUUCUCCCUGCAUGCAUGAAAGGAGCCUCAGGCUGUGGCUACACGUAGCACUUCAAAGCGCUGCCGUGGUAGUGCUGCCGCGGCAGCGCUUUGA
Mauremys reevesii (Reeves's turtle) is the source of this 1510-nucleotide non-coding RNA. NCBI's taxonomy places the organism in Eukaryota, Metazoa, Chordata, Testudines, Geoemydidae. The record is from the annotation of a RefSeq genome assembly.